This 253-nucleotide ribosomal RNA is filed under the name uncultured bacterium. Its description in RNAcentral is "partial 16S ribosomal RNA". It matches the Rfam family "Bacterial small subunit ribosomal RNA", at positions 524 to 776 of the family's 1533-position model. The record is from RNAcentral.
UACAGAGGUCUCAAGCGUUGUUCGGAUUCAUUGGGCGUAAAGGGUGCGUAGGCGGCGUGGUAAGUCGGGGGUGAAAUCUUGGAGCUUAACUCCGAAACUGCAUUCGAUACUGCCGUGCUUGAGGACUGGAGAGGAGACUGGAAUUUACGGUGUAGCGGUGAAAUGCGUAGAUAUCGUAAGGAAGACCAGUGGCGAAGGCGGGUCUCUGGACAGUUCCUGACGCUGAGGCACGAAGGUCAGGGGAGCAAACGGG